RNAcentral lists this ribosomal RNA (260 nucleotides) under Staphylococcus aureus. RNAcentral's name for it is "partial 16S ribosomal RNA". It matches the Rfam family "Bacterial small subunit ribosomal RNA", at positions 516 to 775 of the family's 1533-position model. Lineage: Bacteria; Bacillati; Bacillota; Bacilli; Caryophanales; Staphylococcaceae. The record is from RNAcentral.
CGCGGUAAUACGUAGGUGGCAAGCGUUAUCCGGAAUUAUUGGGCGUAAAGCGCGCGUAGGCGGUUUUUUAAGUCUGAUGUGAAAGCCCACGGCUCAACCGUGGAGGGUCAUUGGAAACUGGAAAACUUGAGUGCAGAAGAGGAAAGUGGAAUUCCAUGUGUAGCGGUGAAAUGCGCAGAGAUAUGGAGGAACACCAGUGGCGAAGGCGACUUUCUGGUCUGUAACUGACGCUGAUGUGCGAAAGCGUGGGGAUCAAACAG